AUUUCUUGCUAGGCCAGCAGGAGCCAGGCCGUGGCCUGCUGACUGCAUCUGCCAGAUGACUACCAAUGUUUUUAUAGAUUGAGAGGAACUACGCUCAAGGAGCCUCAUGCAUACCUGGACCUGAUUUAAAUGAUGAGAUGCUGGACUUCAAGCAGAUGCUGUAAUGAUAUGAGGUUCUCAGGGACCUUGGGAAAUAGUAAAUGUAUUUUGUGUGUGAGAGGGACACAAAUCAUUGGAGGCCAAAAGGGUGAACUGAGGACAGAUGCUAGGGUAGCUCCCACAAUCCCCACCUCCUGGUUUCACCCUUGUGGGAUCUCGCCAUGAGUGUGGAUGGAACCUGUGAUUUGCUUCUAACUAGUAGAAUUUGGCAAAAAAUGAUGAGAUAUAUGUGAUUAUGUUUACAUGAUUAUAUUAUAUAAGAUUCUGAGUACAUUGAGCUGCAUAGAGAGAGCACGGGGGCAAGUGAGAGCCAGGUGGGUACUGGAAAGCUCUGUGCCUCACUGAGGAAAAAUAACUAAACAUGGGCAAAAGAGAUCCAUGGAACCUGAGAGGCAAGGUGUUAUUAUAUGCAUUCUUUGGCAAACUUGUCAGGAGGCGCAUAAGAAGAAGCACCCAGAUGGUUCAGUCAACUUCUCAGUUUUCUAGGAAGUGCUCAGAGAGGUGCAAGACCAUGUCUGCUAAAGAGAAAGGGAAAUUUGAAGACAUGGCAAAGGCGAACAAGGCUCGUUAUGAAAGACAGAUGAAAACCUAUAUCCCUCCUAAAGAUCCCCUUUAGGACGAAAAAGUAGUUCAAGGAUCCCAAUGCACCCAAGAGGCAUUCUUUGGCUGUUUUCUUGUUCUGUUCUGAGUAUUGCCCGAAAAUCAAAGGAGAACAUCCUGGCCUAUCCAUUGGUGAGUUGUAAAGAAAUUGGAAGAGAUGUGGAAGGGCACUGCCUCAGAUGAUAAGCAGCCUUAUGAAAAGAAGGCUGUGAAGCUGAAGGAAAAAUAUGAAAAGGAUAUUGCCUCAUACUGAGCUAAAGGAAAGCCUGAUGCAGCAAAAAAGGGAGUUGUCACGGCUAAAAAAAGCAAAAAAAGGAAGAAGAGGAAGAUGAAGAUGAUGAUGAUGAUGAUAAUGAGAGAUUCUCUCUCCCUUGCUGUCUUUGAAAAAGCAAGUUGCCAUGUGAAGAGGGCCAUAUAGCAUAGGAGCUGAAGGCAGCCUCCAACUGACGGCAAGAAAAUGAGGUCCUCAGUCUGACAACCUGCAAGAAACUGAAUGUUCUAAAAGCCACAUGAGCUUGGGAGCAGAUCUGACCCCAGCCAAAUCUCUGAAGUCCGCAGGCAGGAAAUGAAGAUCAGAAAAAGGCUAUUGUCUCAUGAAUAUGAGCCAGACUCCACAGAAGCUGGAGUCCUUCAUUAUGGAGCUAAACACAUACACCUGGCUUAGGAGUCAGAAAAACUGAAAGAGAAUUCAGGGAAGUAGAGAAAUUGCAAGCCCAGAUGCUGCUUCAUACCAAAGAAGCAAGUCAGCAGGUCAGCAACAAUGUGUAUCAGUUCCAAAAUGACUUACACAGGUACCAAGACAAGACAUUAUAUACACUUAUAUAGUCAAAUACUUUAAAACUGUUAACAAACUUGCUACAAUUGUCUCAUUUGUCUUUUAACCUUAAUAUCACAGAUCAAGUUUGUAAUCUCAAAAGUUCACCCUGGCUGCUGUGUGGAGUAUUCUCUUAUCUGCUCAUAUUACACUGUGCUUAUUCAUUCAUCAGUUAAUGGAAAUUUGGGUUGUUUCCUGAUUUUGACUGUAAUGAAUAAUGUUGCUGUAAACAUUCAUGUACAGUUUUGUGUGGACAUGCUUUUCUUUCUCUUGGGUAGGUUCCUAUGAGUGGAAUCACUAGAUUGUAUGGUAAAUGUAUGUUUAACUUUUAAAGAAACUGUCAAACUGUUUUCUAACAUGAACGGGCCAUUUUACGUUCUUAUCAACAAUAUAUGAUGGUUUCAAUUUUCCCAC
Molecule: long non-coding RNA, 1987 nt
Filed under: Homo sapiens (human)
Lineage: Eukaryota; Metazoa; Chordata; Mammalia; Primates; Hominidae
Description: ZBED3 antisense RNA 1
Source: RNAcentral